Molecule: ribosomal RNA, 301 nt
Filed under: uncultured bacterium
Lineage: Bacteria
Description: partial 16S ribosomal RNA
Rfam family: Bacterial small subunit ribosomal RNA
Source: RNAcentral
CAGUCGCCGCGGGAAUACGUAGGGUGCGAGCGUUAAUCGGAAUUACUGGGCGUAAAGCGUGCGCAGGCGGUUGUGUAAGACAGGUGUGAAAUCCCCGGGCUUAACCUGGGAACUGCGCUAGUGACUGCACAGCUAGAGUAUGGCAGAGGGGGGUGGAAUUCCACGUGUAGCAGUGAAAUGCGUAGAGAUGUGGAGGAACACCGAUGGUGAAGGCAGCCCCCUGGGCCAAUACUGACGCUCAUGCACGAAAGCGUGGGGAGUAAACAGGAUUAGAUACCCCCGUAGUCCCUGUCUCUUAUAA